RNAcentral lists this RNase P RNA (337 nucleotides) under Bacteroidales bacterium. RNAcentral describes it as "RNase P RNA component class A". It matches the Rfam family "Bacterial RNase P class A". Rfam says of the family: Ribonuclease P (RNase P) is a ubiquitous endoribonuclease, found in archaea, bacteria and eukarya as well as chloroplasts and mitochondria. Its best characterised activity is the generation of mature 5'-ends of tRNAs by cleaving the 5'-leader elements of precursor-tRNAs. Cellular RNase Ps are ribonucleoproteins. The record is from RNAcentral. Lineage: Bacteria; Pseudomonadati; Bacteroidota; Bacteroidia; Bacteroidales.
ACAGUGGGUUGCUUCAUCGUCCCGAUGUACAUCGGGAAGGAAAGUCCGGGCAACAAAGGGUUCUGUACUUUCGAAAGAAAGAUGUUCGUGAGGGCAUAGUAGCGGAACAGAAAAUAACCGUCCCGAUGUACAUCGGGAUAAGGGUGAAAAGGUGAGGUAAGAGCUCACCGGAUGAAAAGGUGACUUUUCAUGCCGUUCGUCUUACAGGUUGCAAGGCCAAAUAUACCGACAAUUAAGAGCGACCCGUUCAAUGUCGGGGGGUAGGUUGCAUAGAUAAAUGAUGAAGGUCCCGAUGUACUUCGGGAUACAGAACCUGGCUUAUAAACUCACUGCUAUA